AGAGUUUGAUCCUGGCUCAGAACGAACGCUGGCGGCGUGCCUAACACAUGCAAGUCGAACGAGAAAGUCUCCUUCGGGAGAUGAGUAAAGUGGCGCACGGGUGAGUAACACGUGGGUAACCUACCUUUUGGUUCGGGACAACACUUCGAAAGGGGUGCUAAUACCGGAUAAGACCACGCCCUCUUCGGGGGGUGGGGUAAAAGAUGGCCUCUCCUUGGAAGCUAUUGCCGAUUGAUGGGCCCGCGUCCCAUCAGCCUGUUGGUGAGGUAACGGCUCACCAAAGCUAAGACGGGUAGCUGGUCUGAGAGGAUGUCCAGCCACACUGGAACUGAGACACGGUCCAGACUCCUACGGGAGGCAGCAGUGGGGAAUAUUGCGCAAUGG
RNAcentral lists this ribosomal RNA (384 nucleotides) under uncultured bacterium. RNAcentral's name for it is "bacterial SSU rRNA". It matches the Rfam family "Bacterial small subunit ribosomal RNA", at positions 8 to 374 of the family's 1533-position model. The record is from RNAcentral.